This 78-nucleotide microRNA precursor is filed under the name Schistosoma margrebowiei. Its description in RNAcentral is "mir-3492 microRNA precursor family". It matches the Rfam family "mir-3492 microRNA precursor family". Lineage: Eukaryota; Metazoa; Platyhelminthes; Trematoda; Strigeidida; Schistosomatidae. The record is from Rfam by way of RNAcentral.
AGUUUUCCGAAUAUGUGCUGAGAUUUCGUCAGACACCAACACAUUAGAGUUGAUCAGACUUCUAAGAUAAGUGAAGUU